Molecule: ribosomal RNA, 292 nt
Filed under: uncultured bacterium
Lineage: Bacteria
Description: partial 16S ribosomal RNA
Rfam family: Bacterial small subunit ribosomal RNA
Source: RNAcentral
GUGCCAGCCGCCGCGGUAAUACGUAGGGGGCGAGCGUUGUCCGGAGUUACUGGGCGUAAAGGGCGUGCAGGCGGUGUGGUAAGUUUAGAGUGACAGUAUCCGGCUUAACUGGAUAAGGCCUCUGAAAACUGCCAGACUUGAGGGCCAGAGAGGGACAUAGAAUUCCGGGUGGAGUGGUGAAAUGCGUAGAUAUCCGGAGGAAUACCAAAGGCGAAGGCAGUGUCCUGGCUGGUGACUGACGCUGAGGUGCGAAAGCUAGGGGAGCAAACAGGAUUAGAUACCCUGGUAGUCC